GUCAGGUGCCUGUGUUUUCAUUCCGCAGGUUAAAAGGGAAGAGGGGUGCGAGUCCCCCGCGGUCACGCCGCUGUAUAUGCAGAGCCGCCUUUCAUGAUGUCACCGGGUGAACUUGUCCGGGAAGACGAAAGGCAGCGUGGAAGCUAAGCCAGAAGACCUGCCUCGACGUA
This 170-nucleotide non-coding RNA is filed under the name uncultured Fusicatenibacter sp. The record is from RNAcentral. Lineage: Bacteria; Bacillati; Bacillota; Clostridia; Lachnospirales; Lachnospiraceae.